GCUGCUUCAACAUCAGGGUUGUUUUCCCCAAUGCCCCAGUCUGAGGGCGAUUUGGCCCCUCACCUUUUUAAUGCAGAUCUAAGGGUACUGCUGAGGAAAGGGAGUACCAGUCUGAGCUGUUGUCCAUCCUGUGGCACCAGAGCCAGGUUUACACACUCCCCUUGGGGAAGGUUUGAUUCUACCUGGCUGCUCUUACUCCACCAGAAAAGGUAUGGAUCGAUGCUGCAUGUACAAGAAUCUGCUGCUAAGGUUCUUGAAUUGUCCAGGAACAAGAUUAAUGGAAUAUUCCUGCUUCAGACUUGAGAUGAGAAGUUGGCCUGCAGACAAAUCUACAGGUGUUAGAUGACAACAGACGUGAAUGUCAUCUCAGGUGUUUGGAUUGUCCAUGGACAGGAUUAAUGGAAGAUUCCUGCUUCUGACUCCAGAAGUGAAGUUGGCCUGCAGACCAAUCUUAUACAGGUGCUGGAGCUGUUGUGUCUGUUGCACAAAUCCCCAGCUGCCGGGAGUGUGAUUGCUGCAGCAAUGGAGGCAAGCUGCACCAAGCUGAAGGAUAUGGGGACAUGGUAAAAGGAAGUUGGUCUCCACCCACUGGGCCAGUUUUGUUUCUGCCUACAAAGUGGUGUGAUUGUGUAACUGAGAUAACAAAUAAAAUCUGAAUACAAAGAUUGUCA
Carcharodon carcharias (great white shark) is the source of this 671-nucleotide long non-coding RNA. RefSeq lists it as uncharacterized. The record is from RefSeq and is a predicted model, not a curated record. The transcript has 11 exons. Lineage: Eukaryota; Metazoa; Chordata; Chondrichthyes; Lamniformes; Lamnidae.